RNAcentral lists this unclassified non-coding RNA (579 nucleotides) under Hevea brasiliensis (rubber tree). The record is from RNAcentral. Lineage: Eukaryota; Viridiplantae; Streptophyta; Magnoliopsida; Malpighiales; Euphorbiaceae.
CAACUUUUGAAAAUUUGAAGCAUUUUCUAUCAUCUCUACCAUUACUUGACUGGCUAAAAUUGGGUGAGGUAUUGUUUGAUAUCUUGCAGUAAUAAAGGAGACAGUAAGCUCGGUCCUCAUCAGAGAAGAAGAUGGUGAGCAAAGACUGGUGUACCAUACAAGUCAAGUGUUGAAGGGCUCUGAGCUCAACUACCUAAUAUUAGAAAAGCUUGCCUAUGCAGUUCUAUCUUCGGCGACGAAGUUAAAGCCAUGCUUCAAAGCCCACACAAUAGAAGUCUGAACAAACUACCCUCUGCCGAUGAUUCUACACAGACCAGAGGCGUCUUGAUGAUUAGCGACAUGGUCAGUGAUUCUAGGGCCAUAUGGCAUCAAAUAUGUCCCGAGGAUAACACUCAAAGCAUAGGUACUUGUAGACUUUGUGGCUGAGCUAACACCAGUACCCAAAAUUGAGGAAAAACCAAAGGAGCAAUGGAAUGUAUGGGCGAAUAGAGUAUCGAGUUCAACUGGUGCGGGCAUAGUUGUAGAUCCUUAAAGAACCACACACAGCAAAGCUAAAGUACGCGACAAAGCUAGCAUUUC